GUGCUCACUUCGGCAGCACACAUACUAAAAUUGGCAUGACAUGGGAUGAGCAUGGUCCCUGUGAAAGAAUGACACACAAAUUCAUGAAGCAUUCCAUAUUUUA
This 103-nucleotide small nuclear RNA is filed under the name Nomascus leucogenys (northern white-cheeked gibbon). The record is from RNAcentral. Lineage: Eukaryota; Metazoa; Chordata; Mammalia; Primates; Hylobatidae.